UGGGAAAUCUUCCGCAAUGGACGAAAGUCUGACGGAGCAACGCCGCGUGAGUGAAGAAGGUUUUCGGAUCGUAAAACUCUGUCUUUUGGGGCGAACGUGAGUAUGGUGAACAAUCAUAGUCAGUGACGGUACCAAAGGAGGAAGCCACGGCUAACUACGUGCCAGCAGCCGCGGCAAUACGUAGGUGGCAAGCGUUGUCCGGAAUUAUUGGGCGUAAAGAGCGCGUAGGCGGGAUAGUCAGUCUGUUGUAAAGUGCGGGGCUCAACCCCGUGAUGGCAAUGGAAACAGCUAUUCUUGAGUGCAGGAGAGGAAGUGGAAUUCCCAGUGUAGCGGUGAAAUGCGUAGAUAUUGGGAGGAACACCAGUGGCGAAGGCGACUUUCUGGACUGUGUCUGACGCUGAGGCGCGAAAGCCAGGGGAGCGAACGGGAUUAGAUACCCCGGUAGUCCUGGCCGUAAACGAUGGGUACUAGGUGUGGGAGGUAUCGACCCCUUUCCGUGCCGGAGUUAACGCAAUAAGUACCCCGCCUGGGGAGUACGGUCGCAAGACUGAAACUCAAA
This 559-nucleotide ribosomal RNA is filed under the name uncultured bacterium. Its description in RNAcentral is "partial 16S ribosomal RNA". It matches the Rfam family "Bacterial small subunit ribosomal RNA", at positions 355 to 905 of the family's 1533-position model. The record is from RNAcentral.